AGCGUCCAACGGGUGAGUAACGCGUGGAUGACCUGCCCUUUAGUGGGGAACAACCAGGGGAAACUCUGGCUAAUACCGCAUAAGACCGAAAGGUGAAAGGGGGCCGCAAGGCUCUCGCUGAAGGAGGGGUCCGCGUCCGAUUAGCUAGUUGGUAGGGUAAUGGCCUACCAAGGCGACGAUCGGUAGCCGGCCUGAGAGGGUGAUCGGCCACACUGGAACUGAGACACGGUCCAGACUCCUACGGGAGGCAGCAGUGGGGAAUUUUGCGCAAUGGGCAAACGCCUGACGCAGCAACGCCGCGUGGAGGAUGAAGGUCUUUGGAUUGUAAACUCCUGUCAGCGGGGAAAAAAGGGACCUGGGCUAAUACCCUAGGGACUUGAUUGUACCCGCAGAGGAAGCCCCGGCUAACUCUGUGCCAGCAGCCGCGGUAAUACAGAGGGGGCAAGCGUUAUUCCGGAAUUAUUGGGCGUAAAGGGCGCGUAGGCGGCUUUGCAAGUGGCGGGUUGAANCCCUCGGCUUAACCNANGNACUGCCUGCCAGACUGUUGAGGCUUGA
RNAcentral lists this ribosomal RNA (555 nucleotides) under uncultured Geobacter sp. RNAcentral describes it as "bacterial SSU rRNA". It matches the Rfam family "Bacterial small subunit ribosomal RNA", at positions 94 to 645 of the family's 1533-position model. Lineage: Bacteria; Pseudomonadati; Thermodesulfobacteriota; Desulfuromonadia; Geobacterales; Geobacteraceae. The record is from RNAcentral.